GGGGGGGUGUACUGAAACGUUCCUGGCUUUGGUUAAUAGAAAAUACAGGAGGAUCAGUUCAUUAUGAUUUUAUUCAACAUAUUCCUCUUUCAUAUUCACAUGCUUAUUGCAGUGGUUCUUCAGUUUUUCUAAGCCUUGUGGAAAAACAUAUCGGA
Long non-coding RNA from Octopus sinensis (East Asian common octopus), 155 nucleotides. RefSeq lists it as uncharacterized. The record is from RefSeq and is a predicted model, not a curated record. Lineage: Eukaryota; Metazoa; Mollusca; Cephalopoda; Octopoda; Octopodidae. The transcript has 3 exons.